GUAGUCCAUGCCGUAAACGAUGUCUACUAGCCGUUGGUCUCUUUGAGGGAUUAGUGGCGCAGCUAACGCGAUAAGUAGACCGCCUGGGGAGUACGGUCGCAAGACUAAAACUCAAAUGAAUUGACGGGGGCCCGCACAAGCGGUGGAGCAUGUGGUUUAAUUCGAUGCAACGCGAAGAACCUUACCUGGUCUUGACAUAGUAAGAACUUUCCAGAGAUGGAUUGGUGCCUUCGGGAGCUUACAUACAGGUGCUGCAUGGCUGUCGUCAGCUCGUGUCGUGAGAUGUUGGGUUAAGUCCCGCAACGAGCGCAACCCUUUUCCUUAUUUGCCAGCACUUUGGGUGGGAACUUUAAGGAUACUGCCAGUGACAAACUGGA
RNAcentral lists this ribosomal RNA (377 nucleotides) under uncultured bacterium. RNAcentral's name for it is "bacterial SSU rRNA". It matches the Rfam family "Bacterial small subunit ribosomal RNA", at positions 790 to 1167 of the family's 1533-position model. The record is from RNAcentral.